ACGUUCAGGUAAUCGCUGCACCUUGUUUGGUGUAGAGGAAAGUCCAUGCUCGCACGAUCUGAAAUGAUCGUAGUGUUCGUGCCUAGUUAAUAAAUAAGCUAGGGCAAUCUAGUGGUUACUCAGUAACGAACUGGAUUGACGGCGGGGAAAAUCACCUAAAGCUUGUUAAAAGUCAUGGUUUAGUACCCCUGAAAGUGCCACAGUGACGAAACUCUUUUGGAAACGGAAGAGGUGGAACGCGGUAAACCCCACGAGCGAGAAACCCAAAUUUGGUAGGGGAACUAUCUCAAUGGAAUAACAACAAAGAGAUGGACAGGUUUCAUAGCCUGUAGAUAGAUGAUUGCCACCGGAGUACGAGGUUAAAACCGUUCGCAGUACAAAGGAACAAAACAUGGCUUAUCGAA
Molecule: RNase P RNA, 404 nt
Filed under: Halalkalibacter akibai JCM 9157
Lineage: Bacteria; Bacillati; Bacillota; Bacilli; Caryophanales; Bacillaceae
Description: Bacillus akibai JCM 9157 Bacterial RNase P class B
Rfam family: Bacterial RNase P class B
About the family: Ribonuclease P (RNase P) is a ubiquitous endoribonuclease, found in archaea, bacteria and eukarya as well as chloroplasts and mitochondria. Its best characterised activity is the generation of mature 5'-ends of tRNAs by cleaving the 5'-leader elements of precursor-tRNAs. Cellular RNase Ps are ribonucleoproteins.
Source: Rfam by way of RNAcentral